CUAAACUGAGGAAAGUCGACCGAUACUGAUCGGCUAGAGGGACGUAGAGGUAAGCGGAACUCUCGGAGUAGCGGUGAAAUGCGUAGAGACCGAGAGGUACCCCGAUGGUGAAGACAGCUUACUGGGCGUCUCCUGACGCUGAAGCGCUAAGGCCAGGGGAGCGAAGGGGAUUAGAUACCCCCGUAGUCCUGGCUUCAAACGAUGUGGGCUUGGUGUCGGCUCCCGAUAGAGAGUCGUUGCCGGAGCUAACGUGUUAAGCCCACCGCCUGGGGAUUACGUCCGCAAGGAUGAAACUCAAGGGAAUUGACGGGGGCCCACACAACCGGUGGAGCACGUGGUUUAAUUCGAUGAUAAGCGAAGAACCUUACCAGGGCUUGACCUAGCGGUGGUAGGAUCCUGAAAAGGAAACGACCUCAAGCUUUGCUUGAGGAGCC
Molecule: ribosomal RNA, 434 nt
Filed under: uncultured bacterium
Lineage: Bacteria
Description: bacterial SSU rRNA
Rfam family: Bacterial small subunit ribosomal RNA
Source: RNAcentral